UGCACAUACAUUUUAUUCCAUUCCUGUUACAUUUAUAUAGUAUAUUAUAUAUCGAUUGUGUGUAUUAUAUACAGGCCCACCUCAAACAUAGCAAUAAUGAAAGUGUCAAUGACACUGUAGCUCACCACAAAAAAAGGACACAAAUGAGUGAGUGAGAAGAAGUCCGUUUUA
Priapulus caudatus is the source of this 171-nucleotide long non-coding RNA. RefSeq lists it as uncharacterized. The transcript is spliced from 3 exons. Lineage: Eukaryota; Metazoa; Priapulida; Priapulimorpha; Priapulimorphida; Priapulidae. The record is from RefSeq and is a predicted model, not a curated record.